This 497-nucleotide ribosomal RNA is filed under the name uncultured bacterium. Its description in RNAcentral is "partial 16S ribosomal RNA". It matches the Rfam family "Bacterial small subunit ribosomal RNA", at positions 28 to 507 of the family's 1533-position model. The record is from RNAcentral.
GAUGAACGCUGGCGGCGUGCCUAAUACAUGCAAGUCGAGCGAACAGACGAGGAGCUUGCUCCUCUGACGUUAGCGGCGGACGGGUGAGUAACACGUGGAUAACCUACCUAUAAGACUGGGAUAACUUCGGGAAACCGGAGCUAAUACCGGAUAACAUGUUGAACCGCAUGGUUCAACAGUGAAAGUCGGUCUUGCUGUCACUUAUAGAUGGAUCCGCGCCGCAUUAGCUAGUUGGUAAGGUAACGGCUUACCAAGGCAACGAUGCGUAGCCGACCUGAGAGGGUGAUCGGCCACACUGGAACUGAGACACGGUCCAGACUCCUACGGGAGGCAGCAGUAGGGAAUCUUCCGCAAUGGGCGAAAGCCUGACGGAGCAACGCCGCGUGAGUGAAGAAGGUCUUCGGAUCGUAAAACUCUGUUAUUAGGGAAGAACAAAUGUGUAAGUAACUAUGCACGUCUUGACGGUACCUAAUCAGAAAGCCACGGCUAACUACGUG